Molecule: long non-coding RNA, 1872 nt
Filed under: Ananas comosus (pineapple)
Lineage: Eukaryota; Viridiplantae; Streptophyta; Magnoliopsida; Poales; Bromeliaceae
Description: long non-coding RNA (ACOM_LNC012412)
Source: RNAcentral
CAUAAUUUUUUGACUUCGUUUGCCUAGUGAACGAGUAGCCUCAAAAUGAACGGCUGAAAAUAAAAAUCUCAUAAAAAAUAAUGAUAAAGAACUCAAAUUUCAAAUCGGAGGUAUUGAUCUUACUAUUGACGUUAAGUAGAAUUUUCUAUUAAAUUUUCAUGUAAUUUGGAUACUUCUACACCGUUGAACUUAAAAACAUGCCGCAUCGGCCAUUAAAAUAGUCAUUUUUGAGACCUUUUGAUCGCUUAGUAAAUGAUGUCAAAAAAUUAUAAAAUUUGGUUUCUAGAUAGUUCCAAUAGGGUAGAUUAUACCUAACGGAGCCGAUCGUCGAAUCGGAUGUCCUAUCAUCGAAAACAACUUACAAGCACGGAGGUCCCCGUACUUUCAAAAGUAUAGUAGACGCACUCUAUAUAUAUAUAUAUAUAGAGCUAGGCUCCUAUGCUUUCGAAAGUACGGGAGCCUCCGUACUUGUAAGUUAUUUUCGAUGAUGGGACGUCCGAUUCGGUGAUCGGUUUCGUUAGACAUAAUCUACGCUAUUGAAACUAUCUAGAAACCAAAUUUCAUAAUUUUUUGACUCCGUUUGCCUAGUGAACGAGUAGCCUCAAAAUGAACGGCUGAAAAUAAAAAUCUCAUAAAAAAUAAUAAUAAAGGACUCAAAUUUCAAAUCGGAAGUAUUGAUCUUGCUAUCGACGUUAAGUAGAAUUUUCUAUUAAAUAUUCAUGUAAUUUGGAUACUUCUACACCGUUGAAUUUAAAAACGUGCCGCAUCGGCUGUUAAAAUAGUCAUUUUUGGGACUUUUUGAUCGCUUAGUAAAUGAUGUCAAAAAAUUAUAAAAUUUGGUUUCUAAAUAAUUCUAAUAUGGUAGAUUAUACCUAACGGAGCCGAUCGUCGAAUCGGAUGUCCUAUCAUCGAAAACAACUUACAAGUACGGAGGUUCCGGUAAUUUCGAAAGUAUAGUAGACGGACUAUAUAUAUAUAUAUAUAUAUAUAUAUAUGUGUGUGUGUGUGUGUGUGUGUAUGUAUGUAUGUAUGUAUGUAUGUAGAGUCCGGCUACAAUGCUAUCGAUAACACCAAGUAUUUGGUGCUAUCAAAUUUUCUGCCGUUAGAUCAACCCCUUUGACCAUUUUCACUUGUUAGAUCAUAUUAUUCAAGUAACCACCCACUCAACCUUAGGGGACAACUAUCAUCCUAAUCGUACAUCGCUUCAUCCAAGGGCCGAAAACUUAAUAGCACCAAUGACUUGGUACUGUUAAUAGUAUUCUAGCCUAGUUCUAUAUAUAUAUAUAUAUAUAGAGUUGAGCUGGAAUGCUAUCGGUAACAAACUGGCUCCGUUGUCACCCAUUUGUUUUCGAUGAUGGAGCCUUUUAAUUGACGAUCGACACCGUUGAACAUGACCUAUACCACUUGAAGUAUCUAAAACCAAAUUUCAAAUCUUUUCGACAUCAUUGACCUAAUGAUCAAAGGGUUUCAAAAUUUGUAAUUUUAAUAGUAGAUAUGAGGCGUUUUCUCGUUUAACGGUAUAAAGCUAUCCAAAUCAAUUGAACUUUGGUUAGAAAAUUCUUUAAACUAUUUAGAAUAAGAUCUAUACUCUCGAUCUUGAUUACAAAAUUCCUAUCAUCACUUUUUAGAGGAUAUUUAUUUUCAACCGUUCAUUUUUACGCCCACUUGAUGGACAAUAGAACAAUAUCGAAAAAGCAUAAUAUUUGAUUUCUAGAUACUUUAACUGGUAUAGAUCAUAUUCAACAGUGUCGAUCAUCGAUGUGGCGGCUCCAUCAUCGAAAAUAAAUGGGUGGCAACGGAGCCCGUUUGCUACCGAUAGUAUUCUAGCUCAACUCUCUCUCUCUCUCUCUCUCUCUCUCUCCCUCUCUCUCU